GUGGGGAAUCUUCCACAAUGGGCGAAAGCCUGAUGGAGCAACGCCGCGUGAGUGAUGAAGGCCUUCGGGUUGUAAAGCUCUGUUAUUCGGGACGAAAGAGCGCAUGGCUAAUAUCCAUGCGAAGUGACGGUACCGAAAGAGAAAGCCACGGCUAACUACGUGCCAGCAGCCGCGGUAAUACGUAGGUGGCAAGCGUUGUCAGGAAUUAUUGGGCGUAAAGCGCGCGCAGGCGGCCUUUUAAGUCCAUCUUAAAAGCGUGGGGCUCAACCCCAUGAGGGGAUGGAAACUGGGAGGCUGGAGUAUCGGAGAGGAAAGCGGAAUUCCUAGUGUAGCGGUGAAAUGCGUAGAGAUUAGGAAGAACACCAGUGGCGAAGGCGGCUUUCUGGACGACAACUGACGCUGAGGCGCGAAAGCGUGGGGAGCAAACAGGAUUAGAUACCCGAGUAGUCC
RNAcentral lists this ribosomal RNA (450 nucleotides) under uncultured bacterium. RNAcentral's name for it is "partial 16S ribosomal RNA". It matches the Rfam family "Bacterial small subunit ribosomal RNA", at positions 354 to 796 of the family's 1533-position model. The record is from RNAcentral.